This 207-nucleotide ribosomal RNA is filed under the name uncultured bacterium. RNAcentral describes it as "partial 16S ribosomal RNA". It matches the Rfam family "Bacterial small subunit ribosomal RNA", at positions 1294 to 1500 of the family's 1533-position model. The record is from RNAcentral.
CGGAUUGUAGUCUGCAACCCGACUACAUGAAGCUGGAAUCGCUAGUAAUCGCGGAUCAGCAUGCCGCGGUGAAUACGUUCCCGGGCCUUGUACACACCGCCCGUCACACCAUGAGAGUCGGGAACACCCGAAGUCCGUAGCCUAACCGCAAGGGGGGCGCGGCCGAAGGUGGGUUCGAUAAUUGGGGUGAAGUCGUAACAAGGUACC